GUACGUACUGGCAUUGUUGGUUUCUCCCUUCUGACGAACCAUGAUGUCAUUUAUUUGGUGUUGUGGGGAAUCAGGACUGUUACUUUGAAAAAAUUAGAGUGUUUAAAGCAGGCUCACGCUUGAAUACAUUAGCAUGGAAUAAUGAAAUAGGACGUUUGAUUCUAUUUUGUUGGUUUCUAGGAUCGACGUAAUGAUUAAUAGGGAUAGUUGGGGGCAUUAGUAUUCAAUUGUCAGAGGUGAAAUUCUUGGAUUUAUUGAAGACUAACUACUGCGAAAGCAUUUGCCAAGGAUGUUUUCAUUAAUCAAGAACGAAAGUUAGGGGGUCGAAGACGAUCAGAUACCGUCGUAGUCUUAACCAUAAACUAUGCCGACUAGGGAUCGGAUGAUGUUAAUUUUUUAAUGACUCAUUCGGCGCCUUACG
This 421-nucleotide ribosomal RNA is filed under the name uncultured Glomeromycotina. RNAcentral's name for it is "SSU rRNA". It matches the Rfam family "Eukaryotic small subunit ribosomal RNA", at positions 673 to 1092 of the family's 1831-position model. Lineage: Eukaryota; Fungi; Glomeromycota. The record is from RNAcentral.